UAUGGAUUAGAGAGUCUUUGCUGUAAAGGAGAGGGAGCUCAAAUGGCAUCAGUGUUAUCAAUUCAUCUGUAAGAAGUUCUUUAAGUGAUGCCUUCCAGUAAGCCGUCCGGGAGCUGAGCAACCCUGCCAUCAUCAGGCUCAGUUCAGCAAUGUAAAAUAGGGGGGGAGGUGGUAGCCACUCUGCAAGCCCUGCAAGGACUGCUGAUAGGCUGCAGCAGUUCCUCGCUACAGGCGCUGUGCAGCAGAGAUAUCGUAAGAAUUUGUAGUUAUCCUAGAAAGUUUCCCUGUGAGAAAUUUCCUAUUGAGUGCUGGAAUUUUUUUAGAUCAAAACUGAAAGGGAAAAAGCUAAAUCUGAAGGGAAAGGUUAUUAUUACAGUUCAUGAGCUGACAUUUUAUCUGAGGCCAUGCGAGAUAAAGAAAAGCGUUAGAGCAAAAUCACCCUGGGAAGUUUGGGCUGGUCUCGGCAAAUACUUUUAAAUAUUUACAGGAGACUUUUGCAGAUCACCUACUGGUUAUAUCUCCCAUCCUCAUGGGGCAGGAAUUAAAGCACAAGUUGGAUGAUCAAGGCCACGGAACACACAUCAUUUUAUUCCUCAGGCCAAGCCAGCUAACUAGAGGAAAAGGGAAAACUGAACCAAAACUGUACAUAAAGCUUGAACUGAACCCAAGGUUUACGUUGGGUAUUAGGAAAGGGUUCUUCACUCAGCGGGUGAUGGAGCACUGGAACAGGCUCCCCAGGGAAGUAGUUAGGGCACCAAGCCUAAAUAUAUUAAAGAACCACUUGGACAAUACACUCAGACAUAUGGUGCAAAUUUUGGGGUUGUCCUAUGCAGGGAUAGGAGUUGAACUCAAUGAUCCUUGUGGGUCCCUUCCAACUCAGGUCAUUCUGUGAUUCUUUAGAGCUUGAAAAAUUCUAUUCUCUGAGGAGUGAGGUGCCCUCACUUCAAAAGUCCUGUUGUCCUUCCUCGUCCUCCACCCCAAAAGCGUGUUGAAGAGGCAAAUCCGUCCUGCCCAGAAGCUUCCCCAGGAUAUUAUGGUGACUAAGAAAUGUACCUGUAGCAGCACAUAGACUCACAGCACAUACAGGCUGAAGGGUCAAUGCAGUUAUAAACAUUUAUGUGAACAAAGACAAAGAUCAGCUUCCUAACAGGAAAAUUAAUGUUUUUCACAGACCUAACAGACAGGUUUUUUUGUACCUCAUUUUUAUGAAGAAACCGGGUCUCCAGUGGGCUGGGUAUUACUUAACUAUAAAACCUUGCUGCCUUUCUACAAUGUUCAGUGCUACCUGUGCACGCUCCAGCGCGUAGGAGUUACAAAUGGCAAAGGUUUGAGCCACAGGACUCAGAACUGCUACCGUUUUUAGGCAGUGCAAUAGCAGUUUGUUUUCGUAGUGCUGCCGUGUGCCGUAGCUGUUCAUUGAGCCGGUGUUGGCACACAGAUCUCAGUGAGGUUUUAAGUCCCGCUAUUACAGAGAAUCCAAAUGCCUAAGCAGCCGAGGGGGAUAAGGAACAAAACAGCAUGAGGGAGAGGCAGGCAAAUUACCCAUCCCACGUACUGCCCACAUGCUGGGGUCGGAUUUUACCACUUGACUGAGUUACCUGGGCACAGCUGAGGUCGGAUUCUCCUCCAGCACAUUGAGAUAAUGUGAGAACAGACACGUGGUAGCACAGAGCAGAGGAAAGUCUCCCGCAGGCCUGCUGUGAGAAGACCUUUGGGGUGACCUUGUUUUGCUGCUCAGCUCCAACCUUGCAGGCAGCACUGAAAGUCCCUGCCGUCAGGCUGGUUGCUUGACAAACAGCGCAGCUUCUGCAGUGGGCUGGGUGUGAACUCCCGGGCUUUGCUACGCACUCCCUCUCCCCGUACUUCCCUGUGGAAACACCCUGUGUGAGGCAUGACUGUUGAACAACACUAGAAUAAAGAUGUAAGAAUAAACAUCACCAGGAACAUCCCUGACCACCAUCGGGUUUUACUUCCAUAACCAGGUGAACUUAAGCUAGACCUUUUUGCAAACUCUUUGAGAUUAGUGAGAAGGAUUUAUGAUUUAGAAGAAGAUGGGGAAAACAAAUAGAGAUUUCCUUAAAUAGUUGUCUUAUACUAGAGACCUAACAGCUGAACGGCCAAGAUUGGUGAGCUGGGUCAUGCUGCUCCCAUAGUGUUCCUGUGCUUAAGCAGACCACAGCUGCUGCUGCUGAAGGUGGUGUUGAUGCUUCCUGGAGUACUUUGCACAUAGGUGGUGUCAGUGUUAGGCUUAUGGAAGUGCAGAGCAUGUACACGUAGUUCAGGAUCAGUUUUUCAUCCCUAGAUGGGCAGCUGGAUAUUACUGUGAAGAUUGCUUUUGUUCUUAUACAGUGCCAUAGUGUUGUGAUGUUUUUUCACUGAUUUGUUUGUUAUAGAAUUGUUACAUUGGCCCAUGAUGGAAGAAAUCACCCAGUUUCUUCUCACUCAUGAAAUUACUUCCACACCUACAUAUUUCACUGUUGGUCUCAUGGUUACCAUUACCCAAGAUUUGUUGUUUGGUUAUGUCCAGAACCUGGAAACCUUAUUUAGCCCAAGCUCUGCUUUUCGCUCUGUCUGUGGACUUCUUUCAAAGUACGUGUCAGCUAAUGAAGCAAAGCCAGCCUGUUUUCAGAAUAUCAGCACUGUUAAAUAGAGGUUAGCACCUCUGUUUCAGGAUUUUCUAUCAGAAAAAGGCUGAGAUCUUCUCCUUUGGAAAAAUAAUUCUUUACUGACCCAGAGCGAGACAGUAAGUUCAACUCACAAAAUGAAAAGGACCAAGUCUACAACCUGACUGGAAUAUACAAUUUCUUUUCCUCUGUAAGAUUAAAUACAGAAAGUGUAAAUUCUGUAGACUGGUGCCUAUUUCACCUCUAAAUCCCAGUUUAAGCUGUGCCCAGCCCAUUGGAGUCCACCUGAGGACCCAAAGAGCCCAGAGGAGAUCUUUAGUGGCAGACCUUUGCCAGGACUGCCCAAGAACAAAGAGAGAGUGAUGAGUUUCUAUACAGACAACAUAUAUCAUGUAAACGCAUCAGCAAAGAGAUGACAAGAAUAAACUGGGAAGUGUCCUGAAUGGAAAUGAGCUUAUUUCCCACUGACAUUAAUUCUUCAUGAAGUAUGCAUGCUAAUUAGUGUUAAUCCACAAAGAAAUGCUUAGAAAAUUAUCCGUUACAUCUCCAGGGUGAAAAGGUCUCAGUUGUGAAACUGAAUGCUAAUGGUAUCAUCUUUGAUUUACCAGCAGUCAUCAGGUUCUACACCAAAGGUCAGGAAUAAAUCUUCAGUUUGUAAGCUGUGAGAAAGAAAUGUAUAAACACUUUAAUUUAUUGCCCUGUCACUGUUAAUUCAUUUGGUAUUCACUGUGAUAACAUUGCUGCUAAUGAAUGUAUUUGGUAAUAAUGUGGCUGUCAUAUAUAUUUAUGCUCUCAUCUCUCUAAUCUCGGGUGCCGUUUUAUUUUUUUAUAAAUAUAAGGGGGAAAAGAAAUCAUAUUUUUUUUCAAAGAAGUUCUUAACAAAUAUAUAUCACACGUAGCUUCUCAAAAUGAGGACUGAGGAAGUAGGACUGAACACAAAAUGAUAGUUUGGAAUCGACUGAAGCCAAGGGGAAAGCAUUCUUUGUCUUGCAGAGGCAACAGCUCAGAUUCCAGUCAAAAUAUGUAGAUCAGGUGGUGUUUGUUAAAUAUAGUUAAUAAAUAAAUAAAUAUCAUGUUGGUAUAUUUUGUGUAUAAACAAGAGUUGAGUAAGGAAUGGAAAAAAGUGCUCUUGGAUGUCUUUUUCAAAUCCUGAAUAAGCCAGAAAAGGAACCAAGAAAAGAAUCACAGCUAAGAAAUUUGUACCUAUAUGGAGCCUUAGCUUAUAAAAAUCUCCUAAACGCAAGUUAACCUUGAUUUUUUUUGAGCAAUCAGGUGGUAUAUAUAUAAAUUUUUGCUGACUCUUUAUAUUAAGGUGAUUUUCCACACAUUUUAAAGUUAAACACAAAUACUUCGUAAUCCUUUUAGACAUAUUUUUAGCCUGUGCUCUGCAGAUCACACCACAGUGCCUCAAAACCUGGAGGGUUUUUUUUUUGGUUAUAGUCAGCAGAAGCCUUGCUGUUAGUUUCAAAGGCUCCAUGACCAGGAUUAUAACCAAUUCAUUAUUUUUGGAAUCUAGUCAUAAGCAAUAUAAUAAUAAAAAUAGGGAUAAAUAGCAAAUACCUUCCUUGUUCUGAAAUACUGACUCAGAGCAGGAGACCCUGAACUGAGAUCACAUAACACGACAUUAUGAGGCAGCUGCUGACUGUUUGUGCAUAGCAACCCAAACAAAUGCCUGGAAAAUGCUUAUACACCAUCGUUAUUCUUUUAUUGUUAUGUAAUAAUGCAUCAUUCCUCCUACUUUUAAAGACUAAGCGAGAAUCAGACUGUUCUGUUAGUAUGGUUUUUCAUCUCUUUUGAUGAUAAAAAUCCUACUCCGUUAAUGCUUUGAGUCCAGCUCAAUAGAACUGAGCAGAGGGAGGAAAAUAAAUGACUACAAAUACACUUUAGAAACCUCUACUCUGACCUAAACCACCUUGCCUAUAAAUCAUGAUUUUGCCGUUUCAAAACCUGAUAUACUAUUGUAUACACGGGCUAAGCCAAGCACGCGUCCCUAUCAUUUCCAAGGCUGGUUCCUGGGCCACAGGGAGCCCAGGAUCACCCUGGGGACAGGAGGAUGGGCAGUCAUCCUCUCCAGGGCCCUCACACAUCAUUUUUCCAUAGCUGUCUAUUAAUUACAGCACCUGUGGAUUGAUUGGUUUUGGAAAGUGCUGCAAUGAAUAAAAGGGGAUUUGUACUCAGACACCAGUCUGAGAGCUGGUGCUGCUCGGAGAUGUGCUGCCCUCUUGCCCCUUUGAAAAUGGGGUUCUUCUGAACUCAGUCGCACUUGCAAAGGGAGAGGGAAGGACAGAAAACCUGAUUUGGGUUUUUUUUUCAGUGUUUUCUUCUGAAAAGAUCACUAGUCUACCGUGAAUUAAUGUGUUCUAUAGAUUAAUUUUAUUCUUUGAUUAGGAAAACAUAAAUGUUCCCUUGAAGCCUUUUACAAUUUAUUGCCUCUUAAUUAAGAUGGAAAAGCAUCUAAAUACCCAAGUGGUGGAUGUAUUAUCAAGUAAUUUAUUAUUUUAUACUUUCCCAGCAUAUAUUUGAAACAUGGUGUCAUACCAGAUCUAAUACUUUCCUUUGGUGAAGCUCUGAAUGCCUUUGGAGCCUUUAGCAAGUGUUAGAUAUACAAAUAGAAACUGAAAUAUUUACAGCAUACUUAUUUAGAAGCUUAUGAAAUGUCAGACUUCUCUUCAGUGCAGACGUGACUCGUUGUGAAGGAGUCUUCUGGCUUCCUUUGUUACUACAUGAGGAAUUCAUUUUGGCAUCUCCCUUUAGGGCCAGUUUCUUUUAAGCCGUGAUUGCAUUAAUAAUACCAUCUCAUGGUGUAACUGAUUUAAUCCUUUUCGCAUAGGGGAAGAACUACAGCCCAAUCUAAUUUGCUACUUAUCCAUAAUCGGCAAAGCUACAGAGUAAAGGACAUUAUUUUCUCUCAACUUUUCUGUAUAGGUAUAUUAUUUUUUAUGGUUUGUACUCCUGAGGUAAUUGUGUGCCCUAAAUGAGAAAAUGCUUCAUGUAAAUGUCAUUUUAACACUAAACAUUGCACCGGUUUGUAGAAAAUGGUGUUACUUGACUAAAAAGCUGGUUUAGUGAAUACAUUUGGAAGCCAAAAUUGUUGAGGUUUUGUUACUAUUUUGCUCAGAUGCGAAACUGCUUUUCUAGCUGAAGAAUAAAAGGACACCUUGAUAUUUUCCAUGUAUAUAUACUGUAUUUUUUGCAUGCUUAAGCGUGCUAGUUUCUUUUUUUUUUUUAGGAUUAGCAAUGUAUCAAACAUGUUCGGAUUCUAAAAGAUUGUUAUGGGUGAUGUUCUUUGAAGUGCUGAGAAAAAGCAAGCUUAUCUUUUGCUUUAUAAAUAAGAUCUGCUUGAUGGGAGCUCAAACCACAAAUAAACGUGGCAUGGGGUCACCUAUAUAUUAUCUAAGAAAAGGAUAAUUUCUAAUGAGUUCUUUUCUCAAGAAAACCUACUCUCGUUUACAAUCAGUGAGCAAUGCCGACAGACAGCAGCUAUUCCUGCUUGGGAAUUUGAUGUACACCAAUGAGUCGAUGCCUACUGAAGGCACAAAGGAAUUUGUCUAUGCGUUACAUUGACAGCACCAAAAAUAUUGUCCAUGUCGUUACCACACAGUGACAGGAGGACAGGAUUAGCAGGGGCUGCUUUCCUUGUGGAACAACAAGCCAAGACCAUAGGUAAUAUCACGGAGAGCCUUGUCCGGAAGAACCACACGUCCUCAUAGAGGUAAUGAGAAACUCCCUUUCUUGCCCAGAUACAAUGCCUUUUAUAAUACGAUACAGGGUUCACGCGCUUACUUGUUCUAAUCCUACAGGUUACAGCUACAUGUUCAUGCGCUUCUAUUUACUUUAUAAUUUGUUCUAAGCUACUGUUCACGUGUAGUGACGAUCAUAAUUCCAUCCUCUUGUUUUUCCCUCUUGGGCAAGCUGACAAAUCUUCCCUUCUGCUCUUCACUUUCUCACAACAUUGUACUCCCUUAUUCCAAGGUCUCUGUUGUUCUGUCAAGGUCAAUGCAGGCUGGAUUGUGCACGUAGGCCUCGUAAAUAUGUCCUUGCUCCUUGAGCCAUUCUUCUACACAAUAUGGGUGCAAUCCUCAUUCUGUAAAAACUUAGGCAUACACGCUUUCCUCUCCAUACCAUAAAAAUAACUAGCUUUCCCAUGUAGACUUCCUCCAUUCUGUUAAUUUUUUCAUUGGUUUACUGCUACCAGGAACAUCUCUACUGGAUGAAACGUGAAGCUUGCAGAGGGCGGCACCACAGUCUGGAAAGCAGACCCUUUCUUCAGUGACCAACCAUCCUUCUGAGGUUUCUGGGGGUCUACCCAGAGCUAAAUUCUGCUGCAAUUUACCACCGAGUCACUGCCCAGACUGUUCAGCGUGAGCAGGUGAGGUUUUCCUGGGACAGAGUGGGUGGUGUCACUCCUAUACACAGUGCCUGUGUGUGACUUGCUGACCUGACCUCCAGACAAAAGGCAAUUUUAAGCAGAAAUGGAUCUUGUCUGAGUUCUAUUUCUUUCCUGCUUAACACUCUUUAUUUACUAAAUGAUAGCUGACGCUAUAAAUUUUUCGUGCUGAGUAUGCCACUAUUUUAAAUAAAGCCAGAAUCAUAUCUCAGUGAACACUAAGGUGUCUAAUAAGUUGAGUGGCUAUUUUUACUCACAGAAAUGGAAAAAAUGGAUUUUGAAAAAUGUAAGGGAAAGGAGGAAGACAGUGAUCUGAAGAUGCUGUAGGAAAAAGAGGGAGAAAUUCUUAAGACAAGCCAGAUCUCAACCAGAAUUUAAGUAUCUUCCCAAAAGCUAAAAAUUUCUCUGCAACAAUCAUGUUUUUAAUCCUCAGGAGUAAUAUAUUUGAAUAGCAUAUAUGAAGAAAUUGCAUCAGCACUGGCUGAGCUCUGUAUAGGAUCUGAAGGGGAAAAUAUGUCUAAUUAACAAGUGAUGAAAUACUGAAGAAAUCAGGUAAGUUCUUUUCCUGGCAAAGGUUGCUCACUGUCCAGCGGAGCUGAUGUUUCUGUGAAAGAGAUGUCCUCAAGUGUUCUGUUUAACAACAUUCACAAAAAAACAAGGUUGGUUCAUACAGUUUAUCCAGGCUGUAUUUUCAAGGGAACAUCACACAUGCCAAAAAGGGAACAUCCCACAUGCCAAAAAACAAAAAAUCACUUCUAGUGCUGUUUUGUUUCACCUGGGCUGGAGACAGAAGAGAGAAAUUUCCUUAAUGGCAGAUGGCAUCAAAAGAGCUCCAGGGACAUUUUUGGUGUUUCAAGCCCCAAGUGAUAACAGUUUCAUGUGAUUUCAUCACGCAAAACCAAAAUCUUAUGUAAAACAUCAGUCAGAUCAGUCUGUACUUUUUAUUUUCCCCCGUUUUUUGGUCCCAAGACUGAAAAGUGAUUUCUGAGUUACCUAAAAUUUAACUUUUCUCCCUCUGUCUUCAGGUUUAUGAACUACCUUUAUAGAUAUCUUUAGUUUACGUAACAAAAAGUGUAUGCCACCACCAUACUGUGGUGCUGUGCUGCUUUUAUUUCUUGAAUUAUUGUUUCUCAUGCAGAAUAUUUUGUGUUGAAUAAUGAGCUGUGCCUUGCAAAGAUUAUACCCAUACGCUUGGCCCAAACAAUAAUGACAGAGCAUUUGCACUGAAUCUUCCCCUCGCGCUUUCACUUAAAAAUCUCUAUGAAAACAGCUGACGAUCAUUCAUACUGACAUUUUAUUGCCAGUGGUCACACAACCACAUAUUGUCUCUUCUUUAAGGAGGUAAGUGCUGGGUAAUUUCAUGAUCAUCUCCGAAACUUUAGAGAAUGCUGGCAGAAAGUUAAGACAAACCAGAAAGUAAGUGCUAAAACCUCAAAUGAAAAGUCUGUAAAUUAGUUUGUAAGCUUGACUGGGAAGAUUUCAUUAAAGGUGGACAGUGCAUGGUUGUGGAGAUCUUCCAUGGGCCAGGUUGUCAGAGGUGUCUUAAAGUAUAUUUACCAGUGAAUUUCCACCAAUAACCAUUGGUAGUACUCAUGUGGUCCCACUUCAGCCACGUGCCUUAUCUGGGUAGGUUGAAGGGCUACUCUCCAUAGACUUCCUAGAGAGCCACUGGGGAGAGGUGGAGAACCAAAAAUACCGGUCCCAAUCUAGGGGAACACCUUCUGAAGGCGCUUGUCUUUUCUAAUUAAAUAUACCAGACCCUGAAGGACACUAAAAUUGGCUGAAUCCCUGCAGUGUCAAAGAUGAGUGUACUUAGUAGCUUAAUGUUAAUUUUAAGUUGUUGAGUUUUUCAAUUAUGUUUAUUUUCUGGAGAAAGGUUUUCUUUUUUCUUGAAAAUGUUGUAAGGAACUUGAAAUUCAGAAGAUUUCAACCAGCUGUAGUUCUUAUCUGAUGUCCUUUCACAACAAUACUGUGCCGUUGUCAGAAAUCUAUCAUCAUAUCUUGAUGAAAAAAAAAAUCCAUGUCAGAUUGUGUUGAUUCUGUGUAAGUAUAUUAAAAUAUUAGAAAUUACCUUGGCACUCUGAUGAUUAUUUUUCUCCUCUAAAAGCUGGAGAAAGGAUAAAGCAAACAUUGGACUGACUAUUUUCUCCUUCUGUUGUUCAAAAUAGUGACUGACCUUUCUUUGGAAUGAGAGCUCUAAAAAUGGUAUUCAUUGCUGGUGACAGGAUGGUGUUUGAGAUGCAGGCUCUAACCCAAUCAGUUACUCAGUCGUGGGACUAAGCUAUUUCUAUUGAACAGUAAGACGGAUUAAAUGCAGAAUGGCAUUAUAGGGAGAAAGAAAUGCAGAAACAUCACUGUUGUUUCUUGAAUGUAAUUUUAAGUAAAUGACCUUAAACUGCUCACAUGCUUGAAAGUAAAUCUCUGUUCUGCUUGGGUAGUGUUUCCACAGUGCUUAUUAUUUGCAAGCAAAUAUCAAUGAGACAGAUCCUGAAUUUUCAUUUCUUUUUUUUCUAUUUUCUGUCACGCUAGCAGUUCUUUAAAAACACAAGUCAAAAGUUAUAAUAAAGACUAUUUCAGGAAGGAGAUGUGCAUAACCUGCCAUGAGGCAGUGAUGGGUAUGUCAAUGCUGCUUAGGCUGGAGGAGGCACUAGGAUGCCCAAGCCAGCAGCUCCCCAGGCAGCACAUUCCCCCUUUCCUGGUUUGGGACCACAGAAGAAAGUGUGACACAUAGUGUAGUCACAACCACAGGCAAUGUUUGUUCUCAUUCAGGCUGCAGUAGUGACCAUACCUGGCAGGGAUCCCAAAACUGCAUAAAACCCGUGAUUUUUUCAUACUUUAUUUCCCUAUUCUACUGCUUAAUUCUCCUUUUCACUGCUCUUAUAUCUCCUUUUUUCCUUCCAAAGGACCCCAACCUGGCCCAGAGUAGAAGAGCAGGCAGUGCCUCCAACCAUGACUUGCGUCCCCAAGGCGGAAGGAGGUGACGAGAAGUCCAGAUGGGGUGGGAUCCAUGCCAGCAGAAAGAAGCACUUCUGAAAAUUUAUAAGGAGGUAAUUUUUUUUCCUUGUGUGCAUGACAGCUCUUACCCAUCCAGAAAGUGAGGGGGAGUGAGGAGAAAGGCCAGAUCAUGGGGACAUCACAUCACCCUGACCUUAGCACCCCCUGGGGACAUGCAAGAGCAUCACCUGCUGCUGCCUGAGGGCGUGGGGUGCCCAGUGCCUGCCCCUGGCAGAGCUGUGCCAUCGUAAUCGCUUCUCCUGGCUGAGACCAAUCACGUAUCCGGGCUGGGAAAUGGCUUGGCAGCCUCUGCCUUUGAUGAACCCGCUGUGCACAGGGCUCUUGGAGCAGCAGGAGCGAGUGGCUCGUUGGAAAUCUAUCACAGGCUGACGGCAAGCUGUGCAGCCUUCAAAGACGAGUGAUGCGCUGGCCAUUAGAUUAUUCUUUUAAAUUUUGAACUUGGACAAUGCACAGUGAUAAGAGCAUCACAGAGGUUUGACAGCAACUCAGAAAGCAUAUGCUCGAUGUUAAGCAUAUAGACAAUCACGCUUCUCCACAGGAAAGUACAUUUGGAAGAGCUUUGCCAGAGUCCCAGACAGGAUCUUCAAAAGGUCCUCUGAAUGCAUUCUCCUCAGUAUUUGGGUUUUUAGGUAAAACUGUAAGAGAAAAAAAUCAUCUCUAGAAAAGUGAAUUAUACAUACAGAAGCAGGGUAGUGAAUAUAUUUUGAAUGAAUUUGAGGACUCCAAUUUUUUUCCUAAAAAAUAAAGUUGGGAGGAUGCAUACCUGAACUAGCUGCCCAGGCUAGUAUGUAUUCAGUGAGUAGGUUCAGUGAAAAUAAUAGUCAUUCAUACUUUUGGAAAUAUUUAAGUGCUCCAUUUAUGUAUUUUCCAAAGUUAAUUAUUUAAAUUCUUUGAGUUAUUAAGCAUAAAAUGGCUUGAAAUUUACCUAAACAUUAAAAAGAUAUUAAAAAGAACUGAAUACAAUUAAAGUAAACUAAAAUAUUCUGUAAGGAUUGAAGGAAAACAUUAGGUAAGUCCACAGCUGUUUUAGAAAGAGUUUUGGCCUACUGCAACAAAAAAAUCCAUUAUUUGCACUAUUUCAGUGGAAGAUACCAUCAAGUAAAAUUAAUGUUACAUGUACCAAUUUGUAUUCUCCUUUUCUGCAGCAUAUUUAAUUUAUUAAGUCAAUGGAUAGGGUAUAAGUACCUUAACAUGAACAGAGAAUUACAUCUACAGUUCUUUCCAGCUGAUGGCUUUAGCAGAAUUAUUUCCAUGGGUUUUUAGCCUUCCCUUGGGAGCCUCAGCUCUGGCACCACUAACCCAUCACCCACUGCAGGAGCUGGGUUAGCGUAAGAAGGGCGUUUUGGCAGAGACAAUUUUCAGUGCACUGGUAGGAGCUGCAAUGCAGAGGCACCGGGCAGAGACUGAAGGAUGGAGAUCCAAGUCUUCAUGGCUGCCUGUUUUCUUCACGAGGAGCAUAGAGAUGGUGGCUCUUUAGAAGCUGAGGGAUGCUGUGAAACUGGGUUGAGGGUUGCUUCCAGCGGCAGGCAGAUAAGAACAGCAGUCAAGUCAGUGAUGGUGGCUGAGUUAAAAACGUUUCACCUGCUCCUUGCCCCCCUGUCUGUAAUAAAGUUUUAACAAAUGAGGGGAGAUUGCUUAAAGAGCCAUUUAAGCUUUUCUGCCUUCAAUCUUGAGAAAGUUGGUGGCUGUGCAUUCCCAAAGCUAUUUCUUGUGGGAGAACAGUUUUACCAAAAUGAAGUACCUACUCUGGGAGAUGCUGCCGCAUACUUCUAACGAAUGAGGUUUGAAGGCACGCAUAUCUGAUCUCCGGAAAAAAGGCAGACCUACUUAUGUUCUUGAGCAUGUGGUUAGCCAUGAGCUCAGCAAUGAAUUGAACCCUAGAAACCUCUCUUUCAUAAGAAGAAUCCAUUAAAUUUGUUUUAUGACUGCACAUCCCUAGCAUGUCAUGCUCCAUUCACAAUACACCGACAAAGUUAUUUAUUCUAUAAUGCCACAUUUUUGCUAUUUUCUGCUUCCGUACAAAGAGGGAUGCUGAGGGAAGGCUACUCUGAAAGGAGCCUUUGACAGUGACCUCUGCUCCUGCGCAACAUUCAGGCUACUCAGCAUAAAACCUUAAUGCAUUUGAAGUCCAUCAAGGGCUACCUGUCAUUUCUCCUCUUUCCUUCCUCAUGUUUGAACUCUUCUAUAUUGUGUUUAUGUCAAUUAAAUUCAGAAAAUCAUGUUCAAAUGAUGUUAAGGUUUUGAGACAAAGGUUCAAGUGCAGUCACUAAGCAAGGGAGAGCCAAAGGCUGAUGUUUCAUAGCUUUCCAUCUACCACAGCUAUGAAAGAAUUGGUUGUAACUAAGAGAGAAAAUCUCCUCACUUCCAAAGUGUUGUUCCAAAGGUGAUGUGCAGUCCUUCAAACAGGAUUUAUAAUUCUUCUUAAUAAACAGGACUGAUUAGUAGCACGUUUUUUAGCAAAAUAGUACACCUCUUGCUCUCUGGGCGAUCACAAAAAGCCAGGUUCAACAGCUGAGUUAAUGGUACAUCAAAACCAUUUCUCAAAGAGGGGAAAGUUCUACACUUGAAAACUAUGCUGAUCAGCCCCUAAACGCCAGGCCAUCCUUUAAACUGACCUCAGAGAAAUGCAGUGGCUUUCAGUUCCCAUCCCAGAUUCAGUGAAGAUGUUGUAAUCCCAGAGCAAAGCCAGGAAAUCUCAGCAAUUUCUGCUGUGGUAGUUCUCUCUGGAAGAAUUGAAACUGAUUUUAUGGGCCGUCAGAGCCCUUCCCUCCUUUGCAGCAAGCGGUCACUGUUCAAAACAUACCUGUGGAGGACAGUUACAGGUAUUGCCAUGAGCUUUGUUUCACAGAGGACAAUAAUAGUUGCUGUCUCCAAGUACCACAGGCUUCUUGAUAUUCUGGUCUGCCUGGACUAAGCAGAAUUGCUGUUCCUGUUCCCUUGGUGAGAGAGAGGUUUCCACAAAGAAUCUGAUGCAGUGCACACCUUAAUGUCUGCUGAGUAUCAUCAGGGACAUUUGCUUCAUUCCAGUUUUGCGGUUCAUCAGAAUUUCGUACAGAUCCUGAGUUCAUUUUUAUAUAUGUAUAUAAUUCUGAAGAUUAUAUUCCUUUUUUCUUCUUCCAAGAAACAAGGCAAAAAGCACAGUGAUAUUAUGCCAUUUGCAGCUUUGUCAUAGUAAGAAUAUUUAUUUUGCUGGCAGAUAUCAAAUACUUACUAACAGCAUCGUGAUACAUCAAAAUGAAGUGCUUUAACUGCUUCUACUUAUCUUCUAGCUAUCUUUUUGGGGGGGUUGAUGGGUUGUUUUUUUGUGCUGGCAUUACAGGAAUCAGUCUCAGUCCCUCAACAUUUAUUUCAAGAUGAAAAACAGUGUUAUUCUGUGGACAAUUUUCAACUUUCAUGUCAGCUGCAAUGUCUGUUCCCAUUGCUGAAAGGAAGAAAGCUGUGCUGUGAAAAUUUUGGACAGAAUUAGUCAUUGAAACUGACUUUUAAUAUUAAACUUCGACCUUCACAUUUUCCAAAUUUAUUUCAAAAAUAUGCUUUAAAACAGAUUUUUUUUCUUACUUUUAAACAUCAGUGGGUUUUUAGAGGUAUUUCUUUAUCAAAAUGCAAUAUAAGUAUGUAGUAUGUCACUGCUGUCAAUACUGACAGGUAUUUAUUUACCUGUCACUGCAGGUAAAUAAAUAAUGUAAAAUUAUCAUACAAGAAAAAAUGAAAUAAAUUUGAAAAUGAAAUUACAGUGCUUUGGAAAAGCAAGUCCUGCACUAAAAAUCUGGAUAUUCUGAGUAUAUCACAUGCAGAAAAUUUCAUUUCAAUGUUUUUCACUUUGUAGGACUUCUUCCAUUGCAAAUCGUAUAGCAAAAAAAGAAAAAAGAGAGAAUGUAAAUAACUCUUUCAAUAGAAAACUAGACAAAAAUAUCCAGCUGAUCUAAAUUUUCAGUUUAUAAUAUCAAAUGUUUUUUUGUUUGUUUACCUUUAAAGCAGCUUUUUCACCCAGUGAAGUUCCCCACACAAUGGCAUGUCAAGGAAAUAGUCCCUGUAAAAAGAUCUUAAGUGUCAGAUACUCCUCCGCCCUCAAAGCACCCUGACGAAAAGCGGCUGCUGACCAGUGCAUAUGAACAGUCUUGUCUUUUUCCCUCACAGAUCCAUGAGCUGCCACACAAAGUACAGUUUCUCAACACGUUGCAAGGAAGAUAUGUUCCUCUAUGUGUUUCGAGAGAUUUCUAAGCCAAGAGGAACCACCCGUGCUCUCCAAAGCACGUGUGAAGGACCACCUGUGCUCUCCAAAGCAUGUGCCCUCUCGCCCCUUUGACUCCUGCUGCACUACUGCAGCCCCAGCAGUGCUCUGCAAGAGUUGGUGUGAGGUUGGACCACAGAGGGGGUCCCAUCUGCCCCCUGAUCCCAACCCUGCCUCUAUCUUGGAUGAACAGGAGUGUUGUACAGUGCUGUUUGAGGGCAACUCGGGUCAGCAGCUGUAAUGGUCCCUCCAUUACCAGGAGGAAUGGCUCAGUGGGAGGAAAAGAUAAUGGACUACCAAAGAGGAGGGCUUUGAAGCUGGGGCUGCUCUUACAGCAUCCGUGCUCUAUGCUGUGACAGCCAGGCAGGAGGGGAGCUAGCACAAAAAUUGCCCAUUAAGGAAUCAAAAGAGUGUAUUGCCUCUUGCUGCUUUGAUCUUGUCUUCAAAGACACCUCGUGAGCCUCCUCUUCUGCAAGGCCAGGCCCCUGCCGAGCAUUGCCCGGCAUGGAGGAGCAUUGCUGGGGCUGCAGCAGUGCAGCAGCAGCAAAGUCAGGGAGAGGGCAGAUGCUUCCAGCUGCCCACGUGGGGGUUUCUUUCAGCCCCCAGCCCGCUUACGAGAUCAGUGCCAGGUUUAUUGGCUACAAACACAAGAGUCAAAGCCAUACAGUUCGUGAAUUAGGUCCUAAGCCCAUGGAAUUGCACAGAAGGAGGUGUGGAAGAUUACUGGGGCUACCCUUUUUCUCUAACGUGGGUGUUGCUUCCCUCCACCCUUCAAGGACAACACACAUUCACGGUUACCGUAGCUGAGUGCAAUUGGUCCACCAGAUUUUCUACCAGCUGUCAGCAGGGUCUUGCUGCAGCCUCCAAAGGCCAUUUGAACUCCCUUGCAGCUCCUGCCUGUGGUAGUAGUGGGUUUGAGUGGCAUAGGGGUGAUUUGUCCUCUCUGCUACAGGCACCGUGCAGGCAUCAUGGCCAGCAUGGCCAGGCCAGUGAGCAGCCGUGUCUCAAUGUGCCUGGGAGACCGGGGAGUUGUGGGAGAAACCACCUCUCAAGGUGAACGGAGAGCUGUUUUCCAGGCAAAUUCGGUCCUUCUGUUGGUGUAGAUGCCUGUAGCAUCCAAAAGGUCGAGAUGAUGCGUUGAUGGACACACAGCCACUCAGCAAAGCUUGCAGAGUGUCCACUUUUUACCUCCAACCUCAACCGCAGUGAACUGAAGGCAAAAAUUUUCACAUGCCACAUUUGUCAGCUGCUCAGUUCAAAAUGAUAAAACGUAACGUCAGGCUGACCUGAUCUGUAGCAGCUGGGGGUAAGCAGGGUCUGGAGUAUGGCUCCUCUGUGCCAUCCCCUGAACCACUCCUACAUGAUGGCAUCAGGAUGCCCUGUGGCUGCCUGGGUGCACGCGAUUCCUAGACACAGACGUGUCUUCUUGCUACAACUGUUUACUGAGAGAGCCUAGAUAGCCAUUUCAUCCUGACUGCUGGAAGCAAGUUAGCAUCAUGUACUUCAGCAUUGCCUUGUUCCCAGAUGUCUGCAAGUAACAACAAAGUGCAGCCUAAAUAUAUUCCUUUAACUUCCUUUCAAGCUAUUUUCAGGGUCUUUGAAAUAGUAGAACUUUACUCGUACCACCAUUAUGCACUGAAGUUUACAAGAUAAAAACGUCACGGUGCUUGAAUAGUUCUGGGGUUUAAUACUACGAGGACUUUCUACGGUGUUUCUGUCAUCUACAGCACAAGGAGAGAACACGUUUACAGGAGCUCUCCAAUGUCAUGCUAAUAGGCUUGUUGAUGCAAGUGCACUUUAUCCACCUUAGUCAUACAGGAAAAAUACUGUCUUUCAAUCUCACAAAAUAGUCUUUAAUAAGAUAAAAGAUCUUGGGGUAUUAUGGACAAAAUUCUCACGCUGGAAAAAACAAUGUUUCUGCAAGGACGAUUCAUCAGCCAGCUGCAUUGCAGCUUGGAGUGGGGACAUACAAUAUUUCACCACUGGUUGUUCUGUAAUACAAGCAUAUAUGAAAAAUAUCUUAGGAGAAUUAUAAAGGUCUAUCUUAACUGUUUGCCUUUGAAUGAUCAGAAAACCUGAGUCAGCCGAUGGAGCACUUGUAUCCAUCACACAGGUGUCUGGUGGUGAGUUGCAUCUGGCAGCAAUCUUGCACCAGUCCCAGAACAGCGUCUUCGGGCUCUGUGCUCCCGAGCUGUGCCGGGAGUCGGCGUGGGACCAAGGCAGUGGAGAUGGAUGUGCGCACCAGGGAGCCUUAUAUACUCUGCCUGAGAAGGUUUCAAAAGCAUCUGCUGGUUUCUACCAGUGAAACACAGAGGCAUCAGUGCACCUACAUCUCUCCUCCACUGAAAACCCUUCUUCUAAACAAAACAAAAUGCCAAUGAAGCAAAGUCAACUCCAAUCAAGCUGGGAAGAGAAAAAUAUAUGGGCAGUGAAAAACUAGUCUGUUCUUUCCCCCCCUCCCAGCUGCCACGUACUCUGAACCAGACUGUUUGUAAAAAAGGUACUUGCACUGCACUGGGAGAAUUCAUGCUAUUUUCAAUCUGUAUGAUGAAAAAGACCCUUCUCGCAGGAGUAUUUGCUCGGAGAAUACCAGCAAAAUGAACGUGACCGAUGUGCAGCAUACGAUACAAUAUUUCCAGUGACUUUGAGGCAGUACGGUAUUUCCAUGUAUGCCAAUGAGAACACAGCCCAUCAAAGACAACUUAACCCUAACCUACAGCAAGGGCUGCCCGGAUGUCAGUGGCGGCUGUGGGAGAGAUUUGGGAACAGGCAUUUAGUAGCAGCCAGUGCACACCUGAGA
This is a long non-coding RNA of Cuculus canorus (common cuckoo), 17057 nucleotides long. RefSeq lists it as uncharacterized. The record is from RefSeq and is a predicted model, not a curated record. The transcript is spliced from 3 exons. Lineage: Eukaryota; Metazoa; Chordata; Aves; Cuculiformes; Cuculidae.